GACGAACGCUGGCGGCGUGCUUAACACAUGCAAGUCGAACGGAAAGGCCCUGCUUUUGUGGGGUGCUCGAGUGGCGAACGGGUGAGUAACACGUGAGUAACCUGCCCUUGACUUUGGGAUAACUUCAGGAAACUGGGGCUAAUACCGGAUAGGAGCUCCUGCUGCAUGGCGGGGGUUGGAAAGUUUCGGCGGUUGGGGAUGGACUCGCGGCUUAUCAGCUUGUUGGUGGGGUAGUGGCUUACCAAGGCUUUGACGGGUAGCCGGCCUGAGAGGGUGACCGGCCACAUUGGGACUGAGAUACGGCCCAGACUCCUACGGGAGGCAGCAGUGGGGAAUAUUGCACAAUGGGCGGAAGCCUGAUGCAGCAACGCCGCGUGCGGGAUGACGGCCUUCGGGUUGUAAACCGCUUUCGCCUGUGACGAAGCGUGAGUGACGGUAACGGGUAAAGAAGCACCGGCUAACUACGUG
RNAcentral lists this ribosomal RNA (468 nucleotides) under uncultured bacterium. RNAcentral's name for it is "partial 16S ribosomal RNA". It matches the Rfam family "Bacterial small subunit ribosomal RNA", at positions 28 to 507 of the family's 1533-position model. The record is from RNAcentral.